CUGGGGGUUUCUCCAUUGGUGCUGCUGCCGUGACGACGUGCUAGGAAGGCUGUGAGGAGCCUCGCUGGCCCCAGGAAGAGGUUUGGGGAGGAUAUUCCUAGCAGCUGCCUAAAGCAUUGGUUUCGGGGGUCCUUCCUGCUUCUCCUCUGCUCAGCACUGGCUGCCCAUAUGUGCUUUUCCUUGGUGGAAUGAGAAGACACCUCUGGACAAGCUGACGAGCUCCCAGACCCACUCCACAACUAAGGAUCUAAAGCAGCAAAGAAAGUUAGAAGGCUAAGAAGGCUAUCUACUAGAGAAACUUUCGAGGUUGCAAAAUGGUUCAACUGCCAGCACCUUUUGGGAAAGUCACUGAAUUAUAUACAAAGAGUUUAACACCGAAGAGUUUAAGACCUAAGCAUCAAGAUGAAACAAAAAAUAGAGAAAAAAGAAGACCAUAUGAAGACAUAGCAAUGGUGAGACACACCGAAAAAAUACCAUGCUGAGGAUGCAAGCAGAGAUUGGAGUAAUGUAUCAACACAGCAGGGAACACUAGGGGUUGCUGACAACUGCCACCAACUAGGAGCAGACAAGGAAGGGCUCUCCCUACUGCCUGCAUGGCCCUGCCAGCACCUGACUUCAGACUUCUGGCCUCUGGCCUUCUGAUGAAUUCUCUACAGUGAGAGAAUAAAGUUCUGUUAUUUUAAGCCA
RNAcentral lists this long non-coding RNA (687 nucleotides) under Bos indicus x Bos taurus (hybrid cattle). RNAcentral's name for it is "lncRNA (ENSBIXG00000009458.1)". The record is from RNAcentral. Lineage: Eukaryota; Metazoa; Chordata; Mammalia; Artiodactyla; Bovidae.